UGUUUGUGUCGGAUUUUUUAC
This 21-nucleotide non-coding RNA is filed under the name Caenorhabditis elegans. Lineage: Eukaryota; Metazoa; Nematoda; Chromadorea; Rhabditida; Rhabditidae. The record is from RNAcentral.